This is a non-coding RNA of Brassica napus (rape), 125 nucleotides long. The record is from Rfam. Lineage: Eukaryota; Viridiplantae; Streptophyta; Magnoliopsida; Brassicales; Brassicaceae.
GGAAUAUAAGAAUCCGUCUCUUAACUUUUAACUAAAAAAGCUAAGAACCGGUUCUUAAAUAAGAGUUUGAAGAGCCGGUUCUUAACUUUUUUAGUUAAAAGUUAAGAGACGGGUUUUUAUAUUCC